This 1476-nucleotide unclassified non-coding RNA is filed under the name Harpegnathos saltator (Jerdon's jumping ant). RNAcentral describes it as "uncharacterized LOC105183320, transcript variant X6". Lineage: Eukaryota; Metazoa; Arthropoda; Insecta; Hymenoptera; Formicidae. The record is from RNAcentral.
CUCAGAUCCUCGCUAGGAAAGCUUCAAGGAAAGUUUUUCAUAAAAAAGUUAACAAUGACAAACGUACUUUCUAUAUAUUUUGCAAUCUCAAAGAUACGUACAUAGAACAAAACUAGAAAUAUUGUAAACGAUCUCUAAACGUGCGAGAAAACUUAUAAAAACUCUUGUAAAAAAAUAGUGUUUUAUUUUUCACUUUUCUAUGAUAUAUUCAAGGCUUACCGGAAACAGUGAGUGACGUUUCCUGACUUUUUUUUUGUUAGUACGUUAUGACAUUUUGUAAUAAAUCAACAAAUCAACCGUCUGCAUCACCUUUCAAAUCGUUUUCAUUUAACUUAAACGACGACAAAGGCGAUUUGUGAUUUCUCUUUCUAAUUAAAUAAAAAAAUCAGCCUUACUGCCAAACACAAAUGUUUGAGUAAAAGUAUUUGCUCGCAGUUAACGUCGAUCGUGACCUCGGAAUACACCUCAGAUCUCCUCAUCAAUGUUUCCUCUACCACAUUAUUUUACAUUACUUUCGUCAUCAAAUAUAGUUCAUUCAGAGUUAAUAUAGAAACUAUGAAGCAUCUAUUGGAACUACUUCAGCGUAUCUAUAACGAGCUACGAGAUGAGAAUGAGAUUAAUAUCAUAAAAAAAUAUGGGCAGCUCUCGAGGCGGUACACGGCUGCACUUAUAAUAUUUUCUGUGUUUAUUCUUAUUCCCAUAAUUACGUACUCAUUUUGUCCGCUCAUUCUUGAUAUCCUGCGGCCCUUAAAUGAGACUCGACCACAGCCCUCGUUGGAAUUCAAAUACUUUGUUAAUCAAAAAAAAUAUUUCUAUCUGAUUAUGCUACACGCAAUAACAGCUUUUAUAGUGGGUGGGCUCGCGAUGGUAUCUACGGGUGCGAUACUCAUAGCAUUUAUACAGCAUGCUUGCGGAAUGUUUCGAAUUUCCAGCUACCGUAUCGAGCACGCGAUGGCAAUCGAGACUGCACAAAGCAGCAACGCGGGGAAUGGUAAUAUGAUGUACGAGGGUCUAAUUUACGCUGUAGAUAUCCAUCGUAAAGCUAUGCAGUUCUCCGAUUUGUCAAUAUCAAAAUUCAAGGUGUCGUUUUUCCUCUUAAUAGUAACCGGUGUGGCCUGCGGAAGUCUUAAUUUAUUGCGAAUUUUUCAGGCGGUAACAGUCGGAUACACUAACGUCGGGAUGUUAUCAAUACCUCUUGUGUUCUUUGUUAUCCACAUGAUCUAUAUGAUCGUGAGCAACUCUGUCGCGCAAGAUAUCAUGGAUCACAAUAGCCACGUGUUCGACACUAUGUAAAUAAAAGCGCAACUGCUGCACGUGUGUAUUUUUUCUUCGAUGCGUGAUUUCCGAUUUUUGCCGAGAAAAAUCGAGAUUCACACCUUUUCACGGACACGAGUUUUCUUCGAUAUAAAUUUCUCAUCGCUGAAUAUACAGAAGAUACGAUGUUCGCUGGUAUGUGGCACCUUUGAACGUACAGAA